AUUGAACGCUGGCGGCAUGCUUUACACAUGCAAGUCGAACGGUAACAGGCCUUCGGGUGCUGACGAGUGGCGAACGGGUGAGUAAUGCAUCGGAACGUACCCAGAGGUGGGGGAUAACGCAGCGAAAGCUGUGCUAAUACCGCAUGUGAUCUGAGGAUGAAAGCGGGGGACCGAGCAGCAAUGUUUGGCCUCGCGCCUUUGGAGCGGCCGAUGUCGGAUUAGCUAGUUGGUGGGGUAAAGGCCUACCAAGGCGACGAUCCGUAGCUGGUCUGAGAGGACGACCAGCCACACUGGGACUGAGACACGGCCCAGACUCCUACGGGAGGCAGCAGCGGGGAAUUUUGGACAAUGGGCGCAAGCCUGAUCCAGCAAUGCCGCGUGCGGGAAGAAGGCCUUCGGGUUGUAAACCGCUUUUGGCAGGAACGAAACGGUGUCUGCUAAUACCGGGCGCUAAUGACGGUACCUGCAGAAUAAGCACCGGCUAACUACGUG
This 492-nucleotide ribosomal RNA is filed under the name uncultured bacterium. RNAcentral describes it as "partial 16S ribosomal RNA". It matches the Rfam family "Bacterial small subunit ribosomal RNA", at positions 29 to 507 of the family's 1533-position model. The record is from RNAcentral.